RNAcentral lists this ribosomal RNA (403 nucleotides) under uncultured bacterium. Its description in RNAcentral is "partial 16S ribosomal RNA". It matches the Rfam family "Bacterial small subunit ribosomal RNA", at positions 30 to 526 of the family's 1533-position model. The record is from RNAcentral.
AUUGAACGCUGGCGGCAGGCCUAACACAUGCAAGUCGAGCGAGCGGCGGACGGGUGAGUAAUGUAUGGGGACUGCCCGAUAGAGGGGGAUAACUACUGGAAACGGUGGCUAAUACCGCAUACUAUCGGAUAACCUAUAUGGGAUUAGCUAGUAGGUGGGGUAUAGGCUCACCUAGACCACGAUCUCUAGCUGGUCUGAGAGGAUGAGCGGCCACACUGGGACAGAGAGACGGCCAAGAGUCCUACGGCGGAAGCAGUGGGGAAGAUUGCACAAUGGGCGCAAGCCGGAUGCAGCCAUGCCGCGUGUAUGAAUAGGGCCUUAGGGUUGUAAAGUACUUUCAGCGGGGAGGCGUUACCCGCAGAAGAAGCACCGGCUAACUACGUGCCAGCAGCCGCGGUAAUAC